This 230-nucleotide ribosomal RNA is filed under the name uncultured Alicycliphilus sp. RNAcentral describes it as "partial 16S ribosomal RNA". It matches the Rfam family "Bacterial small subunit ribosomal RNA", at positions 550 to 774 of the family's 1533-position model. Lineage: Bacteria; Pseudomonadati; Pseudomonadota; Betaproteobacteria; Burkholderiales; Comamonadaceae. The record is from RNAcentral.
AGCUGAUCAUUGGGUGUAAAGGGUGCGCAGGCGGUUUUGUAAGACAGAGGUGAAAUCCCCGGGCUCAACCUGGGAACUGCCUUUGUGACUGCAAGGCUGGAGUGCGGCAGAGGGGGAUGGAAUUCCGCGUGUAGCAGUGAAAUGCGUAGAUAUGCGGAGGAACACCGAUGGCGAAGACAAUCCCCUGGGCCUGCACUGACGCUCAUGCACGAAAGCGUGGGGAGCAAACA